This 405-nucleotide ribosomal RNA is filed under the name uncultured bacterium. RNAcentral describes it as "partial 16S ribosomal RNA". It matches the Rfam family "Bacterial small subunit ribosomal RNA", at positions 30 to 526 of the family's 1533-position model. The record is from RNAcentral.
AUUGAACGCUGGCGGCAGGCUUAACACAUGCAAGUAGAACGAGUAGCGGACGGGUGAGUAAUGCCUGGGAAUCUAGCUUAUGGAGGGGGAUCACUACGGGAAACUGUAGCUAAUACUGCGUACCACCGGUAGAGCCCAAGUGGGAUAAGGUAGUUGGUGAGGUAAAGGCUCACCAAGCUGUCGAUCCCUAGCUGGUCUGAGAGGAUGACCAGCCACGCUGGGACGUAGACACGGCCCAGACUCCUACGCGAGGCAGCAGUGGGGAAUAUUGCGCAAUGGGGGCAACCUGACGCAGCCAUGCCGCGUGAAUGAAGAAGGCCUUCGGGUUGUAAAGUUCUUUCGGUAGCGAGGCGUUAACUACAGAAGAAGCACCGGCUAACACCGUGCCAGCAGCCGCGGUAAUAC